AGUUAGCAUGGCAUUUUGAAUGGAGUUUUAAGCCUAAAGGACAGUAUCCUACUUGCAGAAGAAGAUGGGAAAUGUAACAUUCCAUUAUCUUGCUUUGGAUUUAUGGAAAUUCUGAACAGUGAUGUGAGAGUGACUACAGUUUGAAGUAUCUGUUAAAUACAGCAACAUGACAUCACAAGGAUUGUUUUGGAGUCUUCUGGAUAUGAGAACAUUAUAAAAGGAAAUGGCUCACAUAUUAUGGUGGCUAAGAAGUCCUACGAUCUGCUGUCUUCAAACUGGAGAACCAUAAAUGUCAAUGGUGUAAUUCAGUCUGAAUCUGAAGGCCUAAGAACCAAGAGAAAUGAUGGUAUAAUUCCUGGUCUGAAUCCAAAAGCAGGAGAAGAUGUCCCAGUUCAAGCAGAAGGAAUAAAUUCAUUCUUUAUCUUCCU
This 428-nucleotide long non-coding RNA is filed under the name Homo sapiens (human). Its description in RNAcentral is "HSALNT0376166". Lineage: Eukaryota; Metazoa; Chordata; Mammalia; Primates; Hominidae. The record is from RNAcentral.